Molecule: long non-coding RNA, 2223 nt
Filed under: Salmo salar (Atlantic salmon)
Lineage: Eukaryota; Metazoa; Chordata; Actinopteri; Salmoniformes; Salmonidae
Description: lncRNA (ENSSSAG00000113744.1)
Source: RNAcentral
GUAGUGGUAGUUGUGGUGGUAGUUGUAGUGGGGGUGGUGGUGGAAGUAGUUGUAGUGGUGGUGGUAGUGGUGGUGUUUGUAGUAGUGGUAGUAGUAGUGGUGGUAGUUGUAGUAGUGGUAGUUGUAGUAGUGGUGGUGGUGGUGGUGGUGGUGGUGGUAGUUGUAGUGGUGGUAGUGGUGGUGUUUGUAGUAGUGGUGGUAGUAGUGGUGGUGUUAGUAGUGGUAGUUGUAGUAGUGGUAGUAGUAGUAGUAGUAGCGGUGGUAGUAGUGGUAGUUGUAGUUGUAGUAGUGGUAGUUGUGGUAGUAGUAGUAGUGGUAGUUGUGGUAGUAGUAGUAGUGGUAGUUGUGGUAGUUGUAGUAGUGGUGGUGGUAGUUGUAGUAGUGGUGGUGGUAGUUGUAGUAGUAGAGUGGUAGUUGUAGUAGUAGUGGUGGUGGUAGUAGUGGAAGUAGUAGUAGUGGUAGUUGUAGUGGUGGUGUUAAAAGUUGUAGUAGUGGUGGUAGUGGUAGUAGUGGUAGUUGUAGUAGUGGUGGUGUUAAAAGUUGUAGUAGUGGUGGUAGUGGUAGUAGUGGUAGUUGUUGUAGUGGUGGUGGUGGUGGUGGUAGUUGUAGUAGUAGUGGUAGUUGUAGUGGUUGUGGUAGUAGUAGUGGUGGUGGUUGUGGUAGUUGUGGUAGCUGUAGUAGUAGUUGUAGUAGUGGUAGUUGUACUAGUGGUGGUGGUGGUAGUUGUAGUAGUAGUGGUGGUGGUAGUUGUAGUAGUAGUAGUAGUAGUAGUACCACUAGUAGUAGUAGUAGUAGCAGUACCAAUAGUAGUAGUAGUGUUGGUGGUAGUUGUAGUAGUAGUAGUAGUAGUAGUAGUAGUAGUAGCAGUACCAAUAGUAGUAGUAGUGGUGGUGGUAGUAGUUGUAGUAGUAGUAGUGGCGGUGGUGGUGUUAGUUGUAGUGGAGGUGGUGGUAGUUGUAGUGGUAGUAGUAGUAGCAGUACCAAUGGUAGUACCACUAGUAGUAGUAGUAGUAUCAGUACCAAUAGUAGUAGUAGUGGUGGUGGUGGUGGUAGUUGUAGUAGUAGUGGAGGUGGUGGUUGUAGUAGUAGUGGUGGUGGUAGUUGUAGUGGUGGUGGUUGUAGUGGUGGUGGUAGUUGUGGUGGUGGUGGUAGUUGUAGUAGUAGUGGUAGUUGUAGUAGUAGUGGAGGUGGUGGUUGUGGUGGAGGUGGUAGUUGUAGUAGUAGUGGUGGUGGUGGUAGUUGUAAUAGUAGUGGUGGUGGUAGUAGUAGUGGUGGUGGUGGUGGUAGUUGUAGUAGUAGUAGUAGUAGUAGUAGUACCACUAGUAGUAGUAGUAGUAGCAGUACCAAUAGUAGUAGUAGUGGUGGUGGUUGUAGUAGUAGUGGCGGUGUUGGUGGUGGUGUUAGUUGUAGUGGUGGUGGUGGUAGUAGUAGUAGUAGUAGUAGUAGUAGUAGUAGUAGUAGUAGUAGUAGUAGUAGUAGUAGUAGUAGUAGUAGUAGUGGUGGAGGUGGUGGUAGUUGUAGUGGUAGUAGUAGUAGCAGUACCAAUAGUAGUACCACUAGUAGUAGUAGUAGUAGUAGUAGUAGUAGUAGUAGCAGUACCAAUAGUAGUAGUAGUGGUGGUGGUGGUAGUUGUAGUGGUGGUGGUAGUUGUAGUAGUACCACUAGUAGUAGUAGUAGUAGCAGUACCAAUAGUAGUGGUGGUGGUAGUAGUAGCAGUACCAAUAGUAGUGGUGGUAGUAGUCGUAGUGGUGGUGGUAGUACCAGUAGUAGUAGUAGUGGUGUUGGUAAUAGUAGUAGUAGUAGUAGUAGUAGUGGUGUUGGUAGUAAUAGUUGCAGUAGUAGUGUCAUUGACCAUGUGAUGGUUUACUAAUAGUUUUUCCCAGUGUCCACAGAAGUGUGGAGGUUGGACAUCUGUUUCCUCUUCUUUCCUCACCCUCUUCCUGCUUUCCUCUCAUCUCUCCAUCGCGGGGCCAGAAUGAGCUAAUAAUGAGCCAUGAUGAGUGUUCCUCAACAGACCGAAGGGAACUUAACAAGAAGAGAGGAAGAAGUGCAGGUCUUCAGGUUGUAAUGUGAAUAGCAGGACAGACUGCUCAUUAAAGCAGCUCACUGCAUCGUCACAAACACACAGGGGCUUUUAUGAGAACAGAACAGAGGAAGGCCACCCUAGUCAUAGACUGUUCUCUCUGCUACCGCACGGAAAGCGGUACCGGAGUGCCAAGACUA